This is a small nucleolar RNA of Choloepus didactylus (southern two-toed sloth), 130 nucleotides long. RefSeq annotates it as small nucleolar RNA SNORA70. NCBI's taxonomy places the organism in Eukaryota, Metazoa, Chordata, Mammalia, Pilosa, Megalonychidae. The transcript has a single exon. The record is from RefSeq and is a predicted model, not a curated record.
CUAUAAAAAUUCACAAAGCUUCCUCUGCUCAUGGAGGCCCAGUAUGCAGUGGCUGCAGAUAGCAGCCUCCUUGGUAGCAUAUGCAGCCUCUUGCAUGUAUGGGUUGUCCUAAGGGACCUUGGAGAUAGCC